AAUUGAAGGGUUUGAUCCUGGCUCAGAAUGAACGUUGGCGGCGUGGAUUAGGCAUGCAAGUCGCGCGGGAUCUUGUUGAUUGAAACUUCGGUUGAUUGAUUCAAGUGAGAGCGGCGUAAGGGAGAGUAACGCGUGGAUAUCUGCCCCUGGAUCCGGGAUAGCUGAGGGAAACUUCAGGUAAUACCGGAUAAUGUCCCAGGACCAAAGGUGUGAUUCCGUCUAGGGAUGAGUCCGCGUCCUAUUAGCUUGUUGGUGGGGUAAUGGCCUACCAAGGCAAAGAUGGGUACCGGGUGUGAGAGCAUGGCCCGGCUCACUGGGACUGAGACACUGCCCAGACACCUACGGGUGGCUGCAGUCGAGAAUCUUCCGCAAUGGGCGCAAGCCUGACGGAGCGACGCCGCGUGCGGGAUGAAGGCCUUCGGGUUGUAAACCGCUGUCAGUGGGGAGGAAAUCUAUAGGGGUCAUCCCCUAUAGUUGACCUAUCUUCAGAGGAAGGACGGGCUAAGUUCGUGCCAGCAGCCGCGGUAAGACGAACCGUCCAAACGUUAUUCGGAAUCACUGGGCUUAAAGGGUGCGUAGGCGGCUUGGAAAGUUGGGUGUGAAAUCCCGGGGCUCAACCUCGGAACUGCCUCCAAAACUCCUGGUCUUGAGUUCGAGAGAGGUGAGUGG
This 669-nucleotide ribosomal RNA is filed under the name Planctomycetaceae bacterium. RNAcentral describes it as "bacterial SSU rRNA". It matches the Rfam family "Bacterial small subunit ribosomal RNA", at positions 1 to 664 of the family's 1533-position model. Lineage: Bacteria; Pseudomonadati; Planctomycetota; Planctomycetia; Planctomycetales; Planctomycetaceae. The record is from RNAcentral.